GUGGUUCUUCCAUGUGAAGAUUAAAAGGGAAUCAGGUGAAAAUCCUGAACAGUCCCGCUGCUGUAAGCUGUUUUUCCUUAGACGCGAAACUAAAGCCACUGACAAAUAGUUGGGAAGGCAUUCGUGGUCAACAGCAAGUCAGAAGACCUACCACUGAGCG
This 160-nucleotide non-coding RNA is filed under the name bovine gut metagenome. The record is from RNAcentral.